RNAcentral lists this ribosomal RNA (118 nucleotides) under Pteropus alecto (black flying fox). The record is from RNAcentral. Lineage: Eukaryota; Metazoa; Chordata; Mammalia; Chiroptera; Pteropodidae.
GUCUACUGCAUGCUACCCUGAACAAACCGGAUUUCAUCUGAUCUCAGAAGCUAAGUAGGGUUGGGCCUGGCUAGUACUCAGAUGAGAGACCACCUAGGAAGACCAGGUGCUGUAGGCA